Planctomyces sp. SH-PL62 is the source of this 85-nucleotide transfer RNA. It matches the Rfam family "tRNA". Rfam says of the family: Transfer RNA (tRNA) molecules are approximately 80 nucleotides in length. Their secondary structure includes four short double-helical elements and three loops (D, anti-codon, and T loops). The record is from Rfam. Lineage: Bacteria; Pseudomonadati; Planctomycetota; Planctomycetia; Planctomycetales; Planctomycetaceae.
GCCGGCGUGGCGGAACGGCAGACGCUGGGGACUUAAAAUCCUCUGGGCGGGAACGCCCGUGUGGGUUCGACUCCCACCGCCGGCA